Molecule: ribosomal RNA, 484 nt
Filed under: uncultured bacterium
Lineage: Bacteria
Description: partial 16S ribosomal RNA
Rfam family: Bacterial small subunit ribosomal RNA
Source: RNAcentral
AUUGAACGCUGGCGGAAUGCUUUACACAUGCAAGUCGAGCGGCAGCACGGGGGCAACCCUGGUGGCGAGCGGCGAACGGGUGAGUAAUACAUCGGAACAUGCCCAGUCGUGGGGGAUAACACUUCGAAAGAAGUGCUAAUACCGCAUACGUCCUGAGGGGGAAAGCGGGGGAUCGCAAGACCUCGCGCGAUUGGAGUGGCCGAUGUCAGAUUAGCUAGUUGGUGGGGUAAAGGCCUACCAAGGUAACGAUCUGUAGUUGGUCUGAGAGGAUGAUCAGCCACACUGGGACUGAGACACGGCCCAGACUCCUACGGGAGGCAGCAGUGGGGAAUUUUGGACAAUGGGGGCAACCCUGAUCCAGCCAUUCCGCGUGAGUGAAGAAGGCCUUCGGGUUGUAAAGCUCUCUCGGCAGGAACGAAACGGUGAGCUCUAACAUAGCUUGCUAAUGACGGUACCUGAAGAAGAAGCACCGGCUAACUACGUG